GUCGGGUUGUGAGGGUUUCCAGACAUUAGGACCACUGAACUGUCUCGAAGUAGAAGGUUUAAGCGACUAAACUGGCAGUAUAAACAUACAAUGAGAUUCGUCAGAUUCAGAAUGCUCAGAGCACAAACACACAACAGAAAAAUAGGUGUUCAACAUGUAACACGGACGUAAACAACAUGUUAGUAAGAUCCAGUUGGACUUGCGAAUCGGCUCGACCGGUGAAUGAAAAGAACCGAUUCAUUCCCGAAUCGCAUAUCACUACGGUUCAGUACAGUUUGUUCUCGCGCCUUUUAACCGCAGGUGCAGAAACAAAAAUUAUACAAAUGGUUCUUUUUUUAGGAAACAACCAUGCAACAAGAUUAUAGAGGCCGAAUGUCUCAGUUUAUAAUCGUGCACCAAAAAAAAAUCACGAACAACGUGACAAGAAAACCCGCCAGAAACACGCACUGGAGCGAUAGCACGCGACCAUGAGCGUGUGAGCUGCGUUUUACCCAGAAUGACUUCUGCACCACAUUAAAGCGGAAGGGGUGUGGGUGAACAGCCAUACACACACUUCUCACGCACAUAUACGUGCAUAGAAGCACACACACACACACACACACACACAC
Long non-coding RNA from Colossoma macropomum (tambaqui), 608 nucleotides. RefSeq lists it as uncharacterized. The transcript is spliced from 3 exons. NCBI's taxonomy places the organism in Eukaryota, Metazoa, Chordata, Actinopteri, Characiformes, Serrasalmidae. The record is from RefSeq and is a predicted model, not a curated record.